This 368-nucleotide long non-coding RNA is filed under the name Homo sapiens (human). RNAcentral describes it as "HSALNT0277956". The record is from RNAcentral. Lineage: Eukaryota; Metazoa; Chordata; Mammalia; Primates; Hominidae.
AUCAACAGUUUGAGACAACCUUUCAGGGUCUGCUCAUCCUCCAUGGCGAGUCAUCUUGCAAUGUGAUCUGUUGCAUCAGACCUCCGUCUGGGAUCAUCUUUUUCCUGCCUGAAGUUCCAGCUUUGGAAUCUCCCUCCGGAGGGUCUACCAGUGGCAAACUCUUAAGUUUUUGUAUUUGUAAGUGCUAUGAUUUCACCUACGUUCUGGAUACAUGUGCCUCAUACUGGGUACAUAAUUCUUGAAAUACAUUUUCACUGAAUAUAUAAUUCUAAGAUGAUGGUUAUUUUCUCUCUGGCUUUGUUGCUCUUGAUGAAAAGUCAGGUGUGAAUCUAUUAUUCUCUUUUUCUAUGUGCCAGAAAGAGGUGUUG